This 67-nucleotide transfer RNA is filed under the name Marmota monax (woodchuck). RNAcentral describes it as "tRNA.Gly". The record is from RNAcentral. Lineage: Eukaryota; Metazoa; Chordata; Mammalia; Rodentia; Sciuridae.
GGUUGUGGCUCAGAGGUAGGGUGCUCGCCUACCAUGUGUGAAGCACCGGGUUCAAUCCUCAGCACCA